CGCCAGACUCCUACGGGAGGCAGCAGUGGGGAAUAUUGCACAAUGGGGGAAACCCUGAUGCAGCGACGCCGCGUGAGUGAAGAAGUAUUUCGAUAUGUAAAGCUCUAUCAGCAGGGAAGAAAAUGACGGUACCUGACUAAGAAGCCCCGGCUAACUACGUGCCGGCAGCCGCGGUAAUACGUAGGGGGCAAGCGUUAUCCGGAUUUACUGGGUGUAAAGGGAGCGUAGACGGCAUGGCAAGUCAGAUGUGAAAGCCCGGGGCUCAACCCCGGGACUGCAUUUGAAACUGUCAGGCUGGAGUGCAGGAGAGGUAAGUGGAAUUCCUAGUGUAGCGGUGAAAUGCGUAGAUAUUAGGAGGAACACCAGUGGCGAAGGCGGCUUACUGGACUGUAACUGACGUUGAGGCUCGAAAGCGUGGGGAGCAAACAGGAUUAGAUACCCGAGUA
This 446-nucleotide ribosomal RNA is filed under the name uncultured bacterium. RNAcentral's name for it is "bacterial SSU rRNA". It matches the Rfam family "Bacterial small subunit ribosomal RNA", at positions 329 to 792 of the family's 1533-position model. The record is from RNAcentral.